UAAUACGUAGGUGGCAAGCGUUGUCCGGAUUUACUGGGUGUAAAGGGCGUGUAGCCGGGUCGGCAAGUCAGAUGUGAAAUGCGGAGGCUCAACCUCCGAGCUGCAUUUGAAACUGCUGGUCUUGAGUAUCGGAGAGGUAAUCGGAAUUCCUUGUGUAGCGGUGAAAUGCGUAGAUAUAAGGAAGAACACCAGUGGCGAAGGCGGAUUACUGGACGACAACUGACGGUGAGGCGCGAAAGCGUGGGGAGCGAACAGG
This 256-nucleotide ribosomal RNA is filed under the name uncultured bacterium. RNAcentral's name for it is "partial 16S ribosomal RNA". It matches the Rfam family "Bacterial small subunit ribosomal RNA", at positions 521 to 776 of the family's 1533-position model. The record is from RNAcentral.